CCUACGGGAGGCAGCAGUGGGGAAUAUUGCGCAAUGGGCGAAAGCCUGACGCAGCGACGCCGCGUGAGGGAUGAAGGUCUUCGGAUCGUAAACCUCUGUCAGCAGGGAAGAACGGUCACUGUGCUAAUCAGCAGUGAAUUGACGGUACCUGCAAAGGAAGCACCGGCUAACUCUGUGCCAGCAGCCGCGGUAAUACGGAGGGGGCGAGCGUUAAUCGGAAUUACUGGGCGGAAAGCGCUCGCAGGCGGUAUGUCAAGGCAAGGGUGAAAGCCCCGCGCUCAACGUGGGAACUGCCUUUGAGACUGGCAACCUGGAGUGUGUGAGGGGAUAGUGGAAUUCCAGGUGUAGGAGUGAAAUCCGUAGAUAUCUGGAGGAACAUCAGUGGCGAAGGCGACUAUCUGGCACAUAACUGACGCUGAGGAGCGAAAGCGUGGGUAGCAAACAGGAUUAGAUACCCCUGUAGUC
RNAcentral lists this ribosomal RNA (465 nucleotides) under uncultured bacterium. Its description in RNAcentral is "partial 16S ribosomal RNA". It matches the Rfam family "Bacterial small subunit ribosomal RNA", at positions 338 to 795 of the family's 1533-position model. The record is from RNAcentral.